UAUUGCAAGGCGAGGAUGUGUGCGCACGGGUUUCAGGUCGUUCCGCGUGGCUGGGUUUCUGAGUGUGGAGGCGGGGAUUAGCGGGAGGUACAGCUGGAGGAGGAAGUGGAGGCCGGGCAGACCUGAUUGUCGCGCUCAGGACAAUGCUUACUGUGGCUUUCAAGGCAGAGGAAAGCACACCCGAGGGGGUCGUGUCCCACACGAGGCAGAUCUGAUGGUGCCACAAAAGACAGGUGUUUUGUCAGAUUUCAGCCACACACUUUCACACCUGCAACGCAUUAACUACAGCAGCAGUGUUAAUGAAGACCAGGUGCCUGUUCUCCAGCUUAAAUGAGGAACUGGCAUGGCGUUUGUUGUUUGCAACCUGAUGUCUACCUCCACGUCUCCGAACACUGGCCUUCUGGGUGAUGGAGAGGCUGAGCUGGAUAAAAUAGUUGGCUCGGGCCUGCGUGAUUUCCUGCCUAUGACUUGGACCACUUAGUAGUACUCUAUGCCAGCUUACGGUUUUGAGAUUCAUGCUAUCUGCCAUGGCUGAGAGUCGUGGAGGAUGCAGGUGGACCUCGGAGAACCAGAGUGCUGUGCGGCAGUCAUCUGCCCCCAGUUCCAUCUGCAGACGUUUCUGGCGUCUUCAGUGGGACAUCUAUUCCACAAGAAACCAAGAAGCGUAAAAUGAACUUGACAGUUGAAUGGAACUACUGCAGGAAGACAUUGUUAAUUUGAGAAAGGA
This is a long non-coding RNA of Camelus dromedarius (Arabian camel), 727 nucleotides long. RefSeq lists it as uncharacterized. The transcript is spliced from 3 exons. NCBI's taxonomy places the organism in Eukaryota, Metazoa, Chordata, Mammalia, Artiodactyla, Camelidae. The record is from RefSeq and is a predicted model, not a curated record.